CAGGAAAAAAAUACAAGCCCAUUUGAAGACUCUGAGGGAAGAGAGAGAAAAGCUGCUGGGAUUUAAAGUGACUGGAGAGAAGAGAAGCCAGGAGUAUCUGGUUUGACCUGUAGUACUGCUAUCUGACUCCGGCUUGACCCUUCGUGUGGCUGCAUGACUCGGACUCCAGUCCUGAUCCCCCGUGUGACUCCAGACACUGAUUCUGGCUCAGCCUUUGGUAUGACUCCUGAGCUUGACUGUAGCCCCAACACUUGGUGAGAUCCUGACUUUGACUCCAGCUCUGACUUUGUAAACAGACCAAAACCGAGAGGCAGAAGAUUGUGUCUGAAUUUCAGCAACUGCGGCAGUUCCUGGUGGAACAAGAGCGACUCCUGCUGGCCCAGCUGGACAAGCUUAAUGAGGAGAUUGUGAAGAUACAGA
Trachemys scripta elegans is the source of this 420-nucleotide long non-coding RNA. RefSeq lists it as uncharacterized. The transcript is spliced from 3 exons. Lineage: Eukaryota; Metazoa; Chordata; Testudines; Emydidae. The record is from RefSeq and is a predicted model, not a curated record.